RNAcentral lists this long non-coding RNA (444 nucleotides) under Fukomys damarensis (Damara mole-rat). RNAcentral's name for it is "lncRNA (ENSFDAG00000028471.1)". The record is from RNAcentral. Lineage: Eukaryota; Metazoa; Chordata; Mammalia; Rodentia; Bathyergidae.
CAGGGGGAAAACAGUGGUUUUCAAAGGGAAAAUGUUUAUGUGUGUGUGUGUGUGUGUGUGUGUGUGUGUGUGUGUGUACACACAUACAUACGUAUGUGGUCAUGUAUUCUUAGGAGGACACGUUUUGAGAAAUGCAUCAUUAGAUGGUUUUGGUGUUCUGUGACCCUUAUAGAGCACUUGGACAAGCCUGGAUGGCCUAGGUCCAUCACCUGACACACCUUCCUGAUGCCAUCAAGACAGGAGGUAAACGGGAGAUGUGUGAGCUGCUCCAGUGUGACAUGUCGUACUGCUCUCCAGAAUACGUGCUAAAAUGAUGGGAUACCAGUAUCACAGCUGCUUAUUAUCGAGUGUCAUAUACUGUGCAGACGUGUUUAUGUUACACUUUUAUAUAACUGGCAGCAACACCAACACCAACACACACAUUGCAUCAUCUGCGAACCAGAA